This is a long non-coding RNA of Pseudopipra pipra, 2434 nucleotides long. RefSeq lists it as uncharacterized. The record is from RefSeq and is a predicted model, not a curated record. The transcript is spliced from 3 exons. NCBI's taxonomy places the organism in Eukaryota, Metazoa, Chordata, Aves, Passeriformes, Pipridae.
GGUUAACAAAAAAAGAAUGCGACCAAAAUCCAUGGUCAAAAUUUCGCCUGCUGUCUGUUCAUCUUCAUUAGAAAGCUGCUUUCAGAAAUUCAGCCUAACGUAUAGAUCUGAAUCUGGGGACCUGCACUAUCUGGACAUUGGUAGAGGACCAAUGAAUAUGCAGCAUAAAGCUUUAAAAUGUUUUACUGUUUCACUCUCUGGUGGCACAACUCUGUUUCCAAAUGUACCACGAGUUUGAUGGGAAUGCCUAUUAUAUUUCUGAGGAAUAAUGUUUUACACUGGAAAUCUGGAUUGGAGACAAGAAGAAAGGGUUCUUUGCGAAAAGAUUUUGACACCUCGGUGAAAAGGAGGAGCAUCCUCAGAAGGCAUUGAGCCAGUGCUCUGAAUUAAGGAUUCCAUCACUGGCAGCAGGAGUGGGUGCGUGUUCAGUACAGAAAAGCUACGCCCUGGCCACAGAUUUUGAAUUCCCCAGCUUUCAGUACACCCAAAGGUCAUUAAACUCCUUUGGCUGGUGUCCCUCCUGCUGUGAGGAGAAAAUGCUGUGGGUGCUGUCUGCUUCACCCGUGUGCAGUCAUAAUGUUGGCUCUGCCUUUAGAGCCUUCACAGCUGUGCUGUAACACAGUUAGUUCCCAACAUGACUCAGAUGAAGGAUUUUAUUUAAUCUGUACAGGACUUUGGAAAAAAAAAAAAAAAAAGAGGAUUUUCGUUUGUGGAAACCUUGAGGAUGUGCAAAGCUGAAAAAAGGGCACAUGCGAACAAGAGGCUGGAUGUCAAAAGCUGAUUUCCCAUUUUCUUAGGAUAUAAGUUCAGUGAAAAUGGAAAAAUGGGAGAAGAAUGAAACCAUUUCAUUGACUUGGCUACCUUAAUUCCUUCAAUGGUCUGUUAAAGCAACAGUCAUAAUUUGCAUUGCUUCUGGCUCACAAACAGGAACGGUUAAAGAAGUGCGGUGGGGUUUUGGUUGUUUGUUUUAUUUUCUGGCUCUAAAUUCAUAGAAUCAUAGAAUCAGCCAGUUGGAAAGGACCUUCAAGAUCAUCAAGUCCAACCCUUGAUCCACUACCACCAUGGUUUCUAGACCAUGGAACUAAGUGCCACAUCCAGCCACACUCAGCUUUUCUUUUAGGUUCUUUCCUCCAAUGUACCUUCUGUCACUAUUUGCACCAUUUGCAGUGCUUUAUUUCUGUGAAACUAUACACUCCUUUUAAAAUCUGGAGGUUCUUUAGUAUCAUUAAAAUCCACACUGAACAAAAAAUAAAUGUCUUGUUCCUGACAUAGGGGUGACUACGACAAAAUCUGAAGAUUCUUUGUUCAGAUUAAGCUCUCUUGGAAACACAGGAGAGCUGCCAGCUGGUUCUACAGGCCAGAACAUCAGAACUUUUAAAGUAACCCUUGUAUUAUUUGCAUAAGGACUGACAUUUUAGGAAAGUGGACCUGAGGUCACCUGAUAAAUAUGCAAGAGUAUGUCUCUCAUUUGUCCUUCUGAGGCAGAAUGCCACUAACCACAAGACUCAAACAGGCACAAGGAACCCCAGGUUGCAGGAGCAGCAUGAAUAUUCCAAUCAUCUGAUGUAGAGAUUAGUCUAUAGGUUUGAGCUGCACAUGGUAGAGAUCCUCUUUCAUGGUAUCUACAGUGGAGCACAAAUGUGUUCUGUAUCUUUUACAAGUAAUUAUUCCAAGUCCCUUCAUAAAAAUGCUCCAAUUUACAAUGCUCCAAUUUAAAAAUGCUCCAAAGUACAAUGAGUACUUUUUCCAGUUUGGUCCAGAUGCUAAGACAUUGCAUGCCCAGGAAGCUGAACAUUAACCAAGAGCUACUUACUAAUAAUCCAAAGCUGCCUUCAAGACACAAGAGUCAAGAGAGCUGGGUUUCUAGGGGGGCUGUUUCUGUGCAGAGGAUGUGAAAAGGAAGCCUUUGUUCACAAAGUGUCCAUGGAUGUUCAAGGAAAGUGGAUGUGCAGGCCAUACAAUUAAAAGAAAGUGGGGAAUGCCAGUCAAAAGUAAUUGACUCAUGACAGCAAAUGGAAAUUUUUGCAGUGUUUUACACCAGAAUUAUAAAAUCAAUUCACAACCACUGUUAGGGGAAGGUAGCACUAAUGAGAAGUUCCAGUGUAGCUGAGCAUUGCUAUGUGUCAUGUAUUGAACCACAGCAAAUGUACUGCCCAAGGAAGAUAAGGUCCACAGGUUAUUGGUUUUUAUGGGAUGUAAUCAUUGAGUGAUACGGAUUGUGCCUCUAUACCUCAGGAUUCAUUUCUGUACAAACUCAAGCACACAUGUUGAUACUCCAAUGCCUAUGGCAAAUAGUAGGUGCUGUGGAUAAAUCUGAGUUCAUAAUCUAGAUAUAGGCUAGAAUAUAAUAUACAAGGUGCACAACCCAAAACUGUUUUAGAAUUUAAAUUUUACUCAAACAGUCAAUUGAAGGCAAGCAUUAGUGAGAAUAAGG